UUGGAGGGCAAGUCUGGUGCCAGCAGCCGCGGUAAUUCCAGCUCCAAUAGCGUAUAUUAAAGUUGUUGUGGUUAAAAAGCUCGUAGUUGAACCUUGGGCCUGGCUGGCCGGUCCGCCUCACCGCGUGCACUGGUCCGGCCGGGCCUUUCCCUCUGCGGAACCCCAUGCCCUUCACUGGGUGUGGCGGGGAAACAGGACUUUUACUUUGAAAAAAUUAGAGUGCUCAAGGCAGGCCUUUGCUCGAAUACAUUAGCAUGGAAUAAUAGAAUAGGACGUGUGG
Molecule: ribosomal RNA, 280 nt
Filed under: uncultured Ascomycota
Lineage: Eukaryota; Fungi; Ascomycota
Description: partial 18S ribosomal RNA
Rfam family: Eukaryotic small subunit ribosomal RNA
Source: RNAcentral